CUGAGAGGCUGAGUCUGAGGCUGGCACGACUCAUCGAUCCCUGAGGACUUUCGGAAGCCCACACUAACAGGCCGCCCUGGAUGUCUUAGGAACAAGGACCAAUGGUGAUGAAGAUGCGGGUAUAACGUAAGGAAGAACCGUUGAAAAACUCCUCUGUCUUGGAGCGCAGUCCGCUGCCUCUAAAGCACGCCAUCCUGCCCCUGGCCGGGGGGCCCUGCCGAUGUCAGAGGCUGGAGAGGACACCUCACUCACAGAGCCCAUUAGACCAGACAUGCUUUUGCCCCUUCUAGCUUUGGGACUUCUGGCUUGACAAUUUAGGAGAAGACAAAUACUGAGCAAAGAUAACCAACGUAAGAGGAUAUCUUUGAGAUUUUUGCUACCCACAAAUGAUAUAAAUCCCCCACUCUCCAAAUUUAAACUUUGCUUUGCUGCUCAAGAUAGAAACAAUCUGUGAAUAAGAUUUUGUGACAAAAUGAGCUUUCUACUUCCUAAGCAUAUUUGAGCCCUGACCCCCAAUCCAUGAGCUGCUCAUCAUUGUCUGCCUUCUCAUUACUCCGUGGAGGAGUCAGAAUUAGUUGUGGGGAAGUAACCCUUUCUGGCCCAUUUUCAAUUAUCAUAAGAUUUAGCAGGCUUGCGGGGGGACCUUGCUCAUCUUUGCUACCCUGCGACCUCCUCAAUUCGUCUCUUUUAUCUCUGUCUGGAUGGCCCACAUCCCAGCAUGCCACACUGCACUGGCUAAAUAAACCCGUAAAUCUAGCUUUUGUGUCCUGCUAAUCCUUUUAUUUCCUAAAUCUUAUUUAAUCCGAAAGGCUUCCUUUCAUCUCUUUAACUGUCCACAGCGUCACCCUCUCAUCCUGUCAGCAGUGCUUGCAAACCCCGGGUAGAGCUGAAGGCUCCCGGGAGCAGACCCCAGGCCGAGCCCGCAGCACCUGCCGGGGGCCUGCGGGAGGCUCGGGCGGCGCCUGCGCGGGGAGGCCCGGGUGUGGCUCUGCGCCGCCGGACCGCGCCCUCCCCUCCUCGGAGACAGGGAGGCUGCGAUCUGACCUCGGAAGCCUGCCGCCACAGGCCAACGACAGAGCUAAACUGGGCUCAGAGAAAAACGGAAGGGCAGAUUCACACUAAAUGAGUUUUACUUUUGUCUGUCUUAGAGGAAGAUAAGUUUUGGGUCUGAGGAAAAAGAAUCGUAAUUAACACAACGACAUGAGUUAAAGGGAGCUGACAGGCCCUGAAGAAGCCCCCCGUUGCUGUCACACUGGAGCCCAGCUGAAGACAUUCCGUCUGUAAGUACCAGGCAGGCUCUAGGGUGCUGGAUGGAGCAGAAUGGAGCAGCCAGUUUACAGAGGAGACGAGCAAAGCAGUCAACAAACCAAAACCGAACCCAGCCUGAGGCAAGUUAAGCCGUUGGAACUGCUUUCCUGGUAGAUCUCACCUGUGUGCAGAGGGGCCCCAGGGUGGCCCAGGGUGGCCCAAGCUGGAACCGAGGAAGGCCAUCCUGGAAGAGUCAGCCUCAGAGGGAAAGUGGAUCUGCGCUCAGAAGAGCCACACUUAGAAGGAACGCCUCCAGGGAACAAGAACAGAAAGCAGAGAAUCCAAAUCAGUCACGGGUUCUCCUUGUUGGCAAAUCUGGAAAGGUGAGCUGAGAUGCAGGAAUUGACCCACGGGAGUUCAGUGAUGUGAUGGAGGGAGUGAAUAUGCAGCAAAAUGAAAACUUCUAAAACCCACGAACUCAUGAAUGCAACACAUCAAAAAAAGUCCUCUUUCUCUCUUGAGGCAGAUUUUAUAAGGCAGACUUUCUGGGGGAGUCCCAAUUAUAGGUACUUUCAUUCUUUUCCAAAAGGCUAUUUAAAAUGUGUAAGUAUAUAGAUUUAUUUGUAUUCCUUUAUUAAGGCUUACAAAAAAUAAAUUCCUAAGUCAAAAGUGACUUCUUUUCUUUAAAGCGUGUUUUCGAUUUCUUUGUCAGGCUGUAGUUUUGGUUUGUAAAACACAGUCACCAUAGCCACAUUCUUCUCAAAAAGGGUAGGUGGUUGUGGCUUUGGA
RNAcentral lists this long non-coding RNA (2037 nucleotides) under Equus caballus (horse). RNAcentral's name for it is "lncRNA (ENSECAG00000055817.1)". The record is from RNAcentral. Lineage: Eukaryota; Metazoa; Chordata; Mammalia; Perissodactyla; Equidae.